This 510-nucleotide ribosomal RNA is filed under the name Angustibacter sp. RNAcentral's name for it is "bacterial SSU rRNA". It matches the Rfam family "Bacterial small subunit ribosomal RNA", at positions 575 to 1084 of the family's 1533-position model. The record is from RNAcentral. Lineage: Bacteria; Bacillati; Actinomycetota; Actinomycetes; Kineosporiales; Kineosporiaceae.
GCGGUUUGUCGCGUCUGGUGUGAAAAUCCAGGGCUUAACCCUGGACCUGCAUCGGGUACGGGCAGACUAGAGUGCGGUAGGGGAGAUCGGAAUUCCUGGUGUAGCGGUGAAAUGCGCAGAUAUCAGGAGGAACACCGGUGGCGAAGGCGGAUCUCUGGGCCGUAACUGACGCUGAGGAGCGAAAGCAUGGGGAGCGAACAGGAUUAGAUACCCUGGUAGUCCAUGCCGUAAACGUUGGGCGCUAGGUGUGGGGCUCAUUCCACGAGUUCCGUGCCGCAGCAAACGCAUUAAGCGCCCCGCCUGGGGAGUACGGCCGCAAGGCUAAAACUCAAAGGAAUUGACGGGGGCCCGCACAAGCGGCGGAGCAUGCGGAUUAAUUCGAUGCAACGCGAAGAACCUUACCAAGGCUUGACAUACAGAGUAAACCGGCAGAAACGUCGGGUCCGCAAGGGAUUCUGUACAGGUGGUGCAUGGUUGUCGUCAGCUCGUGUCGUGAGAUGUUGGGUUAAG